Molecule: ribosomal RNA, 254 nt
Filed under: uncultured bacterium
Lineage: Bacteria
Description: partial 16S ribosomal RNA
Rfam family: Archaeal small subunit ribosomal RNA
Source: RNAcentral
CACCGGCAGCUCUAGUGGUAGCUGUUUUUAUUGGGCCUAAAGCGUUCGUAGCCGGUUUAAUAAGUCUCUGGUGAAAUCUUACAGCUUAACUGUGGGAAUUGCUGGAGAUACUAUUAGGCUUGAGAUCGGGAGAGGUUAGAGGUACUCCUGGGGUAGGGGUGAAAUCCUGUAAUCCUAGGAGGACCACCUGUGGCGAAGGCGUCUAACUAGAACGAAUCUGACGGUGAGGAACGAAAGCUAGGGGCGCGAACCGG